UCGCUUCAGCAGCAUAUAUACUAAGGUUGGAACAAAACAGAGAUUAGCACGGCCCCCGUGACACACAGACUCAUGAAGAGCUUCUUAUUUUU
Molecule: small nuclear RNA, 92 nt
Filed under: Nannospalax galili (Upper Galilee mountains blind mole rat)
Lineage: Eukaryota; Metazoa; Chordata; Mammalia; Rodentia; Spalacidae
Source: RNAcentral